GGUUCUCAAAAAUUCGAGAUAGAUCUAAUUAUACUUUUUUACUUAUUUCUGCAUUAAUAGAGCAGACGAGUAAAAAAAUAAACCUAUUUAGGAUAAUAAUUGGAUAAGAGAGCCUCUACCCUGUCAACGGAUAGGGAGAGAACAAAAUCUGGAUAAAUACCAAUUCCUAUUACUGGUAAAAAGAUACAGAUUAAAAUAAAGAGUUCUCGUGGUCCAGAAUCCACAAAAUUUGCGUUUGGAACAUUAAAUAGCUUGUAUCCAUAGAACAUCUGGCGUAACAUAGAUAAUAAAUAAAUAGGAGUUAAUAUCAUUCCAAUUGCCAUUACAAAAGUAAUUAGUGUUUUUGGCAUUAACAGAAAUUUUGGACUAGUAAUUAGUCCAAAAAAUACUACUAAUUCUGCGACAAAACCACUCAUUCCUGGUAAGGC
Molecule: ribosomal RNA, 428 nt
Filed under: Triticum aestivum (bread wheat)
Lineage: Eukaryota; Viridiplantae; Streptophyta; Magnoliopsida; Poales; Poaceae
Description: partial small subunit ribosomal RNA
Source: RNAcentral